Long non-coding RNA from Synchiropus splendidus (mandarinfish), 782 nucleotides. RefSeq lists it as uncharacterized. The transcript has 3 exons. The record is from RefSeq and is a predicted model, not a curated record. Lineage: Eukaryota; Metazoa; Chordata; Actinopteri; Syngnathiformes; Callionymidae.
UAAACUCUGUUUAUUAUCACUGACAUUAUUUUCAAUGUAAUAUUCUGCUAGUGAUUUUCAGACAAAAUUCAUGGGACUCAUUCUGGGACAUCUCGGACACAUGAGGGUUAAAGCUACAGAAAGAAAAACAGCUAUCACUGGAGGUCAAAGAUGAGAAAGAACAAUAGCGCACCCCAUCACUCCACCUGCAUUCACACACUCCAGACGUGGAUGCUGUCCUCCCUGUUCCAUUCUGUCACCAAAACAGUGAGGAGUUGAAAAGAAACAAGAGGUGGCCACAAUGACUGGCCUUCAUCACCACAGAAAGCCUAUUGUUAACUGAGGGGGACAUCUCUUCCAUCAUGACAAUGGGUCAGUUGCACAACUGACACAAGAACUCUGACAGGACAGUCUUCACCGUCUCGUCUGGGCUUGACGAAACCUGGAUGUUGUAAAUGGAUUCCACUCUGCCUAAUGCUGUGGUCACUUCUCUAAUCUGGGAGUCCAGCAGACUCUUCACAGGUAGUUAACUCUGUGUCCCAAGACCUGAGCAAACCCACACCCAAGAAGGCUAGGCUAACAGCCAGCUUCUCCCGCAAGCUGGAAGCUCAGCAACCCCUUCAAGGAAGCCCCUGAGGGCUCCCGAGGGCUCCCUUGAGACCCAUCCUGGACCUUCGAAGGCUAAACACUCACAUCGUAAACAAAGUAGUGGACAUGGUGUUGGAACCUCUCAGGAAUUCAGGAGUAAAAAUUCGGACUAUCUUGGACGACUGGCUCUGGCAACGUCCAGGGAGUAGGUGAUC